GAAGUGCGAUAAGCAAUGCGAAUUGCAGAACCGUGAGUCAUCAGAUUUUUGAACGCAUCUGGCGCCAGUUGGCUCUCCAGCUGGCAUGCUUGUUUCAGUGUCUUGUUCUCUCCUCACCCAAAUCCUAAUGCUGGAGAUACCCUUCUCUUGCUAAACACGAAAGCGCUCUGCACUCCGCAAGCGGUCUCGACCUAGUCUUGGCCACGCUCAAUGCAGCCGUCACAUUGCUCACAAUGUGAACUCAUUGAGAGCGGAGGCAGCGAAGCUUAGGCUUCAAGUGCUUAGACACUCAAACUUUACUUGUAUCUGAAAUCAAGCAGGAUCACCCGCUGAACUUAA
Molecule: unclassified non-coding RNA, 339 nt
Filed under: uncultured fungus
Lineage: Eukaryota; Fungi
Description: sequence contains ITS1
Rfam family: 5.8S ribosomal RNA (bases 1-103)
Source: RNAcentral